ACGGGGAGCACCACAACGGGUGGAGCUUGCGGUUUAAUUGGAUUCAACGCCGGAAAUCUUACCGGGACCGACAGCAGUAUGAAGGCCAGGCUGAAGACUUUGCCGGAUUAGCUGAGAGGAGGUGCAUGGCCGUCGUCAGUUCGUACUGUGAAGCAUCCUGUUAAGUCAGGCAACGAGCGAGACCCACGCCAACAGUUGCCAGCAUGUCCUCCGGGAUGAUGGGGACACUGUUGGGACCGCCUCUGCUAAAGAGGAGGAAGGAAUGGGCAACGGUAGGUCAGCAUGCCCCGAAUUAUCCGGGCUACACGCGGGCUACAAUGGUCAGGACAAUGGGUAUCGACACCGAGAGGUGGAGGCAAUCUCCUAAACCUGUCCUUAGUUCGGAUUGUGGGCUGCAACUCGCCCACAUGAAGCUGGAAUCUGUAGUAAUCGUGUCUCAAAAUGGCACGGUGAAUAUGUCCCUGCUCCUU
Molecule: ribosomal RNA, 470 nt
Filed under: uncultured Methanolinea sp.
Lineage: Archaea; Methanobacteriati; Methanobacteriota; Methanomicrobia; Methanomicrobiales; Methanoregulaceae
Description: bacterial SSU rRNA
Rfam family: Archaeal small subunit ribosomal RNA
Source: RNAcentral